UACAGAGGGUGCGAGCGUUAAUCGGAAUUACUGGGCGUAAAGCGCACGUAGGCGGCUUUGCAAGUCAGGUGUGAAAUCCCCGGGCUUAACCUGGGAACUGCAUUUGAGACUGCAUUGCUAGAGUAUGGGAGAGGGAAGUGGAAUUUCCGGUGUAGCGGUGAAAUGCGUAGAUAUCGGAAGGAACAUCAGUGGCGAAAGCGACUUCCUGGACCAAUACUGACGCUCAUGUGCGAAAGCGUGGGGAGCAAACAGG
This 253-nucleotide ribosomal RNA is filed under the name uncultured bacterium. Its description in RNAcentral is "partial 16S ribosomal RNA". It matches the Rfam family "Bacterial small subunit ribosomal RNA", at positions 524 to 776 of the family's 1533-position model. The record is from RNAcentral.